UGGGGAAUAUUGGGCAAUGGGCGAAAGCCUGACCCAGCAACGCCGCGUGAAGGAAGAAGGUUUUCGGAUUGUAAACUUCUGUCCUCAGGGAAGAAGGAAGUGACGGUACCUGAGGAGGAAGCCCCGGCUAACUACGUGCCAGCAGCCGCGGUAAUACGUAGGGGGCAAGCGUUGUCCGGAAUGAUUGGGCGUAAAGGGCGCGUAGGCGGCCUGUUAAGUCUGGAGUGAAAGUCCUGCUUUCAAGGUGGGAAUUGCUUUGGAAACUGGCGGGCUGGAGUGCAGGAGAGGUUAGCGGAAUUCCCGGUGUAGCGGUGAAAUGCGUAGAGAUUGGGAGGAACACCAGUGGCGAAGGCGACUUACUGGGCCGUAACUGACGCUGAGGCGCGAAAGCGUGGGGAGCGAACAGG
This 407-nucleotide ribosomal RNA is filed under the name uncultured prokaryote. RNAcentral's name for it is "bacterial SSU rRNA". It matches the Rfam family "Bacterial small subunit ribosomal RNA", at positions 355 to 776 of the family's 1533-position model. The record is from RNAcentral. RNAcentral also lists the same sequence under 1 other name.